This 1377-nucleotide long non-coding RNA is filed under the name Anas platyrhynchos platyrhynchos (common mallard). RNAcentral's name for it is "lncRNA (ENSAPLG00000016919.1)". Lineage: Eukaryota; Metazoa; Chordata; Aves; Anseriformes; Anatidae. The record is from RNAcentral.
GCUGAGGGGGGUGAGGGUAUGGGGGGAUGAGCUCCUGGGGGGGUUGAAGGUGAGGGUAAGUUGGGGGGAGAGCUUCUGGGGGGGCUGAGGGGGUGGGAAGGGGUCAGGGAUGGGCUUCUGGGGGGGCUGGAGGUGUGGGUAAGUGCGUGGGGGAGUUUCUGGGGGGGGCUGAAGGUGAGGGUAGGGGUCGGGGAUGAGCUCCUGGGGGUCUGAGGGGGUGGGAAGGGGCUGGAGAUGAGCUCCUGGGGGGAUUAGGGAUGUGGGUAGGGGUCGGGGAUGAGCCCCUUGGGGGGGGGUCCCAGGGUUGGGAAGUGGCUGAGCCCCCGGGGGGUCGGGGGUCCAGCCCUUGGGGUGAUCGGGGCUGUGCCCCCAGUGCAGGGGUAGGUGAUGGGGUUGGCACCAAGUCCUUGGAGGGGACUACGGGGUAGAGGACUGGUGUAAAACAGGCCAGGAACGGGCAAAAUCCCCCACGAGGCCAAUUUCUGCAGGGCUCCGCCUGCCCCCCAUCACUCCUACCUGCCCCCCAUCAUCACCCCCACAGCACCCCACUGCUCCUACAGCACCCCACAAGCCCACCAUGGGGUGAUGCCACUGCCGAGCCCCCGGGGAAGGUUCCCAGCCCCCCUUGUACCCGCGGCAGAGCCCUGGGGCGAGCUUUGGGUGAAGCCCCCAGCGCCUCUUCCAGGAAGAGCGGCGGCCCCCUCCAGCUGCCUCGCGCAUACCGCAGCUCGCAGGAUACAUGUGAUGAUGAAUAAGCACGAAACCACGGCCGUCUGCUUUCGGGCCCCUUUUUUUGCUACUCGAGCUGAGCGUAGGAGAAGCGCAGGAAAGUAUCAAGAUGACAGGAGGGGUGGGAAAGGCGCUCGGUGCCCGGCACAGGCACCCGCUCCGGCGCGUUUUGGCGACGGGCUGGAUUUUUUCGGGUCGCAUCCAAGCCCCCCUCCGGCAGGGAGGGCGCUGAGGGAGAAAUUUCGGGGAGAAAUGAAGAUUUGUGCUGUUUUGUGCCGAAAUCCCACCCGGGGAGCUGCAGCCAUCCAUGCAGGAGCUUCUCCAGGUGAGCCCCGUGCGCUUCGUGCGCUGGCAGCCCGGGGAUGCCCUCGGAAGGGCACGUCACCGCGGGGCGCACGCUGCUGGGGUGGAAAAGAGGCCAAAGUGUCACCGCUGGGGAGUUCCUCGCCAGGCUGGGCAACGCCAGAAGGCCAAAUUCAGCAGAAAUUUGUCGCCCCGGGGAGAGGAGGAGGAACCUCGACAAUAUGCAGCCCUUUUUUGGAGCGGGUGCCGUCCCCGGGUGCACCGGCACCGGAGAGCUGGCUGGGAACCCUGAAGGACGCGGGGAUGCUCGGUCCUGUCCCCAAAACACCCAAAGUGGCAGGGUGA